GAUGAACGCUAGCUACAGGCUUAACACAUGCAAGUCGAGGGGAAACGACAUUGAAGCUUGCUUCGAUGGGCGUCGACCGGCGCACGGGUGAGUAACGCGUAUCCAACCUGCCUCUGACUAAGGGAUAACCCGGCGAAAGUCGGACUAAUACCUUAUGAGGUUUUCUGCAGACAUCUAACGAAAACGAAAGAUUUAUCGGUCAGUGAUGGGGAUGCGUCUGAUUAGCUUGUUGGCGGGGUAACGGCCCACCAAGGCAACGAUCAGUAGGGGUUCUGAGAGGAAGGUCCCCCACAUUGGAACUGAGACACGGUCCAAACUCCUACGGGAGGCAGCAGUGAGGAAUAUUGGUCAAUGGGCGAGAGCCUGAACCAGCCAAGUAGCGUGCAGGAUGACGGCCCUAUGGGUUGUAAACUGCUUUUAUGUGGGGAUAAAGUGAGCUACGUGUAGUUUAUUGCAGGUACCACAUGAAUAAGGACCGGCUAAUUCCGUGCCAGCAGCCGCGGUAAUACGGAAGGUCCAGGCGUUAUCCGGAUUUAUUGGGUUUAAAGGGAGCGUAGGCCGUGGAUUAAGCGUGUUGUGAAAUGUAGACGCUCAACGUCUGAAUUGCAGCGCGAACUGGUUCACUUGAGUAUGCACAACGUAGGCGGAAUUCGUCGUGUAGCGGUGAAAUGCGUAGAUAUAUGGAAGAACACCAGUGGCGAAGGCGGCUCUCUGGUCUGCAACUGACGCUGAGGCUCGAAAGCAUGGGUAGCGAACAGG
RNAcentral lists this ribosomal RNA (759 nucleotides) under uncultured Prevotella sp. RNAcentral's name for it is "bacterial SSU rRNA". It matches the Rfam family "Bacterial small subunit ribosomal RNA", at positions 28 to 776 of the family's 1533-position model. The record is from RNAcentral. Lineage: Bacteria; Pseudomonadati; Bacteroidota; Bacteroidia; Bacteroidales; Prevotellaceae.